Molecule: ribosomal RNA, 497 nt
Filed under: uncultured bacterium
Lineage: Bacteria
Description: partial 16S ribosomal RNA
Rfam family: Bacterial small subunit ribosomal RNA
Source: RNAcentral
GAUGAACGCUGGCGGCGUGCCUAAUACAUGCAAGUCGAGCGAACGGACGAGAAGCUUGCUUCUCUGAUGUUAGCGGCGGACGGGUGAGUAACACGUGGAUAACCUACCUAUAAGACUGGGAUAACUUCGGGAAACCGGAGCUAAUACCGGAUAAUAUUUUGAACCGCAUGGUUCAAAAGUGAAAGACGGUCUUGCUGUCACUUAUAGCUGGAUCCGCGCUGCAUUAGCUAGUUGGUAAGGUAACGGCUUACCAAGGCAACGAUGCAUAGCCGACCUGAGAGGGGGAUCGGCCACACUGGAACGGAGACACGGUCCAGACUCCUACGGGAGGCAACAGUAGGGAAUCUUCCGCAAUGGGCGAAAGCCUGACGGAGCAACGCCGCGUGAGUGAUGAAGGUCUUCGGAUCGUAAAACUCUGUUAUUAGGGAAGAACAUAUGUGUAAGUAACUGUGCACAUCUUGACGGUACCUAAUCAGAAAGCCACGGCUAACUACGUG